Molecule: non-coding RNA, 1964 nt
Organism: Taeniopygia guttata (zebra finch)
Lineage: Eukaryota; Metazoa; Chordata; Aves; Passeriformes; Estrildidae
Source: RefSeq, a predicted model, not a curated record
CAUUUCAUCCCAGAGCUUCAUUUCCCCUUCCUCCCCGUUUUUGUCUUCCUAUGGCAAAAAUGUGCUGGUCACAGGCCCAGAUCUUUGCCUUCAGGAUAUGAAGAGUUCAGCUGCUGGUGGCUGCAACAGCACAUGUCAGAGUUUCCUGAAUGUGAAGCCUGCAUAUCCAUUUAAACAGAAGCUGCUGGGCCAGAGUCAGAAGAGGCUGCAAGGCUACAACAUCUAACUUGUAUCAAGAAAUCUAAACUUGUGAGAAGAAUCUGUGCUCCUUCUGGAAUCACAGUGACCACAGAGUUCAAAGGAUGGAGACAGAGCAAAAGGAAAACAACAAACUGCUAAAGUCAACAGGGAGACAGAAAACACAUGAAGUCACAACUCUAGUUCACACCAUUCUGUCUGCAAGUGUCACUUGUUGCAGGUGUGGCACGUAGAAGAUGAGGUACAAUAACCACCACAGAAAAUAAGGUGAUUAGUUAUCCAAAGGCUAGAUUGUUCUUCUACAUUCUCUUGUUAAACCUGAUGUUGACCUCAGUUGUCCUACAUUAAUGGAAAAAGCCUAGUGUCAGAGAGCUUGGCAAACUCAUUCUUUACUAUCAUUCUUAGCAUACCUCCAUGCUAUAAUUCAAUUAUGCAAAUGGAUAAUUAUGCACUAAUACUAUACAUGUAUAAUAAUGGCAUUCAAAUUGUAUAAUUAAUAAUUAAGAGAUUGCAAUAUAUUUAAUGAAGGUCACAUUUUCAACUAUUAAUUCAAUGUGAAAUGUUGAUUUGCAGAUUAAAGGGUGUAGAAUCCCUUCUCAAAGCCCAGUAGCUCUCACAUACUCUAAUUCUUACUCCUUUCAAACAUCAAAUCCUCUUAUGUGUCCCUUUCUCUAAUGGCCAGAAAGACAUCCUGCCUACAUUGGUUAUUCUUACUACCAUUAUUUUUUCUGAAUUUAGUAGUUGAAAUUACAAGCACAUUUCUUCAACAGUUUUUCUUAGGAGUUUUCUAUCUAGUUGAGUUACCAUGUUGAACUUUCUUCAUAGGCACAUAAAGACAACAUCCUAUAAAUUAGGACCUUGGUAAUAGCAAUGGGUACCAUGCUACAAGAUAAUGAACCUGCUAAUACAUAGCUUUCCAAAAUACUCAACAACUUUUACAUCAUGCAGUUUCUGGUAAAGAAUUCCUUACAUUGGUUUCUUCUACAAAACACAAAGGUUUUUUUAAACAAACAUACCUACAAAGUAGAUUUAAGUGAACUGUUUUGAUGACUGCUUUUACCAUGUCCCCUUCUACCCGCAUGAAGUCACGAAUGUAUACCAAGAGAAUAUAUCAUCUUAAUUAGAUCAUUUAUGCAAGAAAUAACAACUUUUCACAUCAGCUGUGAUCCUCAGUGUGAUUUCUAUAAUACAGACUUCAGUUGCCAAAGCAUCAGCACCUGUUGUUACUCAAAACACAAGCUGUACCAGAGACUCUGCACAGGAUCAGCAAACACAAUCUACAAUCUACAAAUUACCUUUGCUACUUAGUACAGCACAGCAGCUAGAGGACAGGCAUGAUGCUCUGGAACAUAACAAAUGGUAUUAGGUGCCUUUAUUUAGGCAAAUUAAUUGACACUUCUCUUCUAUCACUGCACAGACUAAACUUCUGAAACCAAGAUGCACUGUUUAAGCUUGAAAGCUGCCAUAUAAGAAUGAAUAGUACACUAGAAUUUUUGUUCUAAGCAACACUUGAUUUUAUUCUUUUUGUGUCCCCAUGCAAACAUAGCAUUUGACUAUGACUCUUCAAUUCUACUUUAAUAAGUAAUUCAGUUUUAUUUUUUAAACAUGCAGUGUCAUCACAGGCCCCCAGAAAGUAAUAAUUAGCAUUGACUCCAUGAUUCAUGGAAGGCUGAUCAAUCACUUUGUUAUAUUAAUUAAGAAACCCAUCGCCCUUACAGACAGUCACAAUACAGGGGGACCCGAAUGGUCCUUCAAUCCAAACACCA